RNAcentral lists this ribosomal RNA (301 nucleotides) under uncultured bacterium. Its description in RNAcentral is "partial 16S ribosomal RNA". It matches the Rfam family "Bacterial small subunit ribosomal RNA", at positions 509 to 807 of the family's 1533-position model. The record is from RNAcentral.
CAGUCGCCGCGGUAAGACAGAGGAUGCAAGCGUUAUCCGGAAUGAUUGGGCGUAAAGCGUCUGUAGGUGGCUUUUCAAGUCCACCGUCAAAUCCCAGGGCUCAACCCCGGACAGGCGGUGGAAACUACCAAGCUAGAGUACGGUAGGGGCAGAGGGAAUUUCCGGUGGAGCAGUGAAAUGCGUUGAGAUUGGAAAGAACACCAACGGCGAAAGCACUCUGCUGGGCCGACACUGACACUGAGAGACGAACGCUAGGGGAGCAAAUGGGAUUAGAUACCCCGGUAGUCCCUGUCUCUUAUAC